Molecule: non-coding RNA, 966 nt
Organism: Oryzias latipes (Japanese medaka)
Lineage: Eukaryota; Metazoa; Chordata; Actinopteri; Beloniformes; Adrianichthyidae
Source: RefSeq, a predicted model, not a curated record
UGACGCUUCCUGUCAUGCAGCGGCGCUGCACGGCGCUGGUACAGCCCCAUAGUGCAGCAGCCUGACAACACUCACUCGCUCCACUUUUCCUCUUGCUUAGGCCCUAUAUGUGGAGCCAUCUGGACGUGGAGAGAGGGGAGUCAGCUGCUGCACACACCGAGGCGCGGAGCCUGAAUCCGUCUCAGCUCAUUCUGUGGGAUCAUCUGCGUGGUGGGCUCACACCGUGGCAAAUGCGCUCUCCAUCAUUAGGUGAAAUGUUAGAAUAGAAAUAAAAGAAAUGUUGAUCCCCUGUUUGUUUGAUUGGUGCAGAAAAAAACUAAAAAAAAAAACUCAAAAUUUAAAAACAAAAAUCCAGUUUGGCGCAAGUGGAGGGCAAACUCAGAUAUUAUAUGUUAGGGGAAGCUGAUGACACGCGUGGGGGCCCCCUGCAUAUAUCUCACUCUUCUGUUCAGUGACCACAGUGACUGAAGCCCCCAAAGAUUUGGGUCUGAUACCAAAUCAAACUCCUCAGGAGGCGUGCUUUCCAAUAAAAAUGUUCAGGGCGACUUCCCUGGACCUCCGUAUUGAAAAAGGGGGUGACGUCUUCUUCCUUUUGUGUGUGAGUCUGUGUGUGUGAGUGUGUGAAUUUACGGGGCGAGGCCCUCAUGAUCUCCUUAAAUUUGCAUGUAAAUGGCGACAUCAGCCUCCGCGCGUGCCAGGGGCCAGCGGGCCUCCCAGAUGUCAAAGCAAAGUCAAUCAGCCGGCCGCUGCCCAGCUGUCCAUCGAUGCACUUCACUGGGACAACACUUUCAUUAUGCUCACCUGCAUUGUUUCCUAAUGGAUUGAUUGGCAAAAAAUGUUUAAAGUGUGUGUUUGUGUGGGGGGAAGAAAAUCUUAUUAGCGCCCACAGAAAGAUCUCUCUCACGGCUUCAUCACAGAGGUUGCUUUAAAGUGAUCUUCUUUUCGAUUAAAUAUUAAUCAAAUCUG